GACGAGGUGGCCCGAGUGGUCAAAGGCCGAUGGACUGCUAAUCAUUGUUGCUCUGCAACGCGUGGGUUCGAAUCCCAUCCCUCGUGCGCA
RNAcentral lists this transfer RNA (90 nucleotides) under Pleuronectes platessa (European plaice). Its description in RNAcentral is "tRNA-Ser". Lineage: Eukaryota; Metazoa; Chordata; Actinopteri; Pleuronectiformes; Pleuronectidae. The record is from RNAcentral.